GUUUCUGUCGAUAACUCAUACGGCUGACAGGUGAAUAACACAUAAGCAACCUGCCCACCAGACCGGGAUAACUGUCUGAAACUAAUGCUAAGACCGGAUACGCAAGCCUGGGGCAUCCCGGGCUUGGGAAACACGGCGCAAGCUGUGGCUUGUGGAUGGGCCUGCGGCGCAUUAGCUAGUUGGCGGGGUAACGGCCCACCAAGGCGACGAUGCGUAGCCGACCUGAGAGGGUGAACGGCCACACUGGGACUGAGACACGGCCCAGACUCCUACGGGAGGCAGCAGUAGGGAAUCUUCCACAAUGGGCGAAAGCCUGACGGAGCAACGCCGCGUGAGUGAUGAAGGUUUUCGGAUCGUAAAGCUCUGUUGCCAAGGAAGAAAUGUAAGGAGAGUAACUGCUCUUUACUUGACGGUACUUGAGAAGAAAGCCCCGGCUAACUACGUGCCAGCAGCCGCGGUAAUACGUAGGGGGCAAGCGUUGUCCGGAAUUAUUGGGCGUAAAGCGCGCGCAGGCGGUCUUUUAAGUCUGGGGUUUAAUUGCAGGGCUCAACCCUGUAUCGCCUUGGAAACUGGGAGACUGGAGUGUACGAGAGGAAAGUGGAAUUCCCCGUGUAUCGGUGAAAUGCGUACACAUGUGGAGGAACACAGGUGGCGAAAGCGACCUUCCGGGCUAAUACUGACCCUUAGGCGCGAAAGCGCGCGGACCAACCAGGAUUACAUUCCCUGGUAGCCCACGCCGUAAACGAAGAGUGCUAAGUGUUAAGGGUUUCGAUACCCUUGGGUGCCAAAGUUAACACAAUAACCCCUCCCCCUGGGGGAGAACCCUCCCAAAACUUGAACCCACAGG
RNAcentral lists this ribosomal RNA (847 nucleotides) under Firmicutes bacterium enrichment culture clone CTBE CDB1010C05. RNAcentral describes it as "bacterial SSU rRNA". It matches the Rfam family "Bacterial small subunit ribosomal RNA", at positions 77 to 907 of the family's 1533-position model. The record is from RNAcentral. Lineage: Bacteria; Bacillati; Bacillota.